RNAcentral lists this long non-coding RNA (3989 nucleotides) under Triticum aestivum (bread wheat). RNAcentral describes it as "long non-coding RNA (TAES_LNC019562)". Lineage: Eukaryota; Viridiplantae; Streptophyta; Magnoliopsida; Poales; Poaceae. The record is from RNAcentral.
GCUAAUUUACAAUUUGACACUGUACAAAUCUUUUUUCUUUACAAGCCUGUAUCCAACCGAAGCAACUAAUUAACAGGGAACAAAUCACAUUACUUUCUUUACAUGGCUUUACCCAACGGAACCAACUACUAACAAAUCAUAGAUUGAUUUUUUGUGUCGUGGUGUUCAUGGCUAGUGGAGAGGCGGAUCCACCGCCGGCCCCCAAGCCAUCAACUCCGACGACCCCUGCACACCGAGGCUUCACACAGAUGACAACUGAGACGAUCCCACAGACUGCCGGACAGGGAGGCGACUGUUGCGUCCAUGGAUCACCACGAUCUGCUCCAGAUUGGUCAGUAUAUUAUCUCCCCUUCCUCCCACCCCACGCCAAACACACACAGUGCCACACGGAUCCAGGGUUUGAACCUCUUGGCAUCUCCUCGCUAGGCAGCCCCUAACGCUGCUACACUUGUAGUAACCCUGCAACUGCAACAAUAUGAUGGAGACAUAAUUAUCAGGAUUCAGGAGUAUAAAGUUCUGAAAUUAUCCAAAUCUUUAAACCAUGUGGAUGAAUACUUCUACGAGGAUCAUGAAUCCAAUGACAUGGGCAUACACUUAGUUUUACUGGAAAAUGAAUAUUAAACAAUUUGUUACUUGUUUCCUAACAUACCAAAAUGACAGUUAGAUGAUGCCCUUAUGUCCCCUCCAUAACUGAAAAUCUUUUGUUCUCCAUGUAGGUCUCGGCCGGUGGCUAGCAAUGAUACAUAUGUAUCAACUAUGGAAGGAAGUGUUGAUUGGUCCAAGAUUGAGAUAGCACCAAUGAAUGAUGAAGAAAUUGAUGUUCCUAUAACAGAAGAGAACAUGUGCUCGGUGCUUGGCAUCAAUGAUGAACCUGAGCAUCGGAAAAUUGUAUCUGAAGCAGCUAUGAAAACCUGCAUUGCAGAUGUUGAUGCAUGUGUGGCUGAUAUUGAUGAGGAUUUACUUGCUGAUGCGGCUCUUCCUGUGCCUGACCAUAUGCCUGAAGAGGAUCACUUUUGGUAUGAUAAGGAACAUCCUGUGAUAGAGGAAGGAUCUUUGUUUCGUUCAAUGAACGAGUUUAGGAUGCUCAUGAGAACAUUUGCUAUUAGAGGCAAGUUUGACAUCAAGACCAAGGAUAGUGACACUACUAGAUUUGUGGGUCACUGUAAAGGAAAUGCAUGUCCUUGGAGAAUAACUGCUAGGACAAUAGAAGAUGGAAAAACAGUCAGGGUACAAACUUAUCUAACAUGAAUCAUCUUUUAUGUUAAAACUAUCUUUUAUAAAUUACUUGCAACAAAUGGUUGGUAUUGUGUUUUCUGCAGGUAAACAAGAUAGUAAAGCCUCAUAAGUGUUCAUCAACCACUGCAGUGAUUACAAGCAUGGCAGACCAAGCAUGGGUGGCAGAAAAGGCAAUGGGGUAUCUUCAAACUGAACCAAACAUUGGUGCCAGCGAGCUCCGAAAAAAGCUAUAGGCCGAAUACAAAUGUACUAUUAGGUAUCAUACUGUUGACAAGGGAAAAGAAAGGUCCAAGAAUAGUUUAUAUGGGACCUGGGGAAAAAGCUUUCAGUCAUUAUUGAAUUUCAAAGCUGAGAUUGAUAAAAGAUCUCCUGGUAGCAUUGUCGAGGUUGAUGUCAAGAGGGAAGGAGGUGAAGUGCAUUUCCGCAGAUUUUUUAUGGCACUUAAGCCGUGCAUUGAUGGCUUCUUGGCUGGUUGUAGACCAUAUGUCAGUAUAGACUCCACAUUUUUGACUGGAAAGUGGAAUGGUCAAUUAGCAGCAUGUACAGCACUAGAUGGACAAAAUUGGAUGUUUCCUUUAGCAUUUGGUUUCUUUGGUACGGAGACCGAGGGUAACUGGAUUUGGUUUAUGCAACAACUGUAUAGGGCAAUAGGACAUCUUCAAACUCUAGCUAUUUGUACUGAUGCAUGCAAAGGGUUGGAGAAUGCAGUUAAAAUUGUGUUUCCUCGAGCUGAGCAAAGGGAAUGCUUUAGGCAUCUAAUGGCAAACUUCAAAAAGAAAUUUCACGGAGAUGUUUUUGGUCGCAUGUGGCCAGCAGCCAAGGCUUAUCGUCUGGAAACAUUUAAUUAUCAUAUGGGCAAGAUAUUUGAAGCUGAACCUGCAGUGAGUACCUACUUAUGUACCUAUCAUAACUUAAAGUGGAUGAGAUGUGACUUCAACACAGAAAUAAAAUGUGAUUACAUUCACAACAAUCUAGCUGAGUGCUUCAAUAGCUGGAUCAAAGGAACAAAGGAGCUGCCCAUGGAUGAGCUAGCCGAUGCAAUAAGAGAGAAAAUUAUGAUACUUGUUUAUAGAAGGAGAAGGAUUGGGAAAAUGCUCCAGGGAGAGAUAUUGCCUGCUAUCAUUCAACAAAUAAAUAAUAGAACUAGGCAACUUGACCAUUUGGUUGUUGGAAGAUCAACCGGAGAAAGUUGUGAGGUCAAGGACACUAGCAAGAAUAAUCUUAGGCAUGUUAUGAAGAUAGGCAGCCGUGAGUGCACCUGCCUAGAAUGGCAACACACUGGAAAGCCAUGUGAGCAUGCACUUGCAUUCCUUAUAGAGACGGCAGAUGUGAACUUUCAACCAUAUGUACAUGAGUACUACUCCGUGAGUAGGUUUCGGGCUGCCUAUGCUGGAGAGAUUGAACCAAUCACGGACAAGUCUCAAUGGCCUCAUGUUAAUCUAGAUUUUGAGAUGGUGCCACCGGAUUUAAAGAGCUCCGUUGGGAGACGGAGGAAGCAGAGAAUCAAAAGUUGCCUUGAAGACGGUGGUGGCAGCAAACGGAAGAAAAAAGAUGAUAAUGGCAAAACAAAUGACCAAGAAGGAGGUGACAAAGAGAAGGAAAAGGAAAAGAAGAGAUUUGGCAGCAGAAAUAGGUGCAAAGAAUGUGGGAUAUUGGGGCACAGGAAAGCAACUUGCAAAAAAAAUGAAGCUAAAGAGAGGUAACCCAUGCACUAGUAUCUCCUUUAUAUUAGUAUCAAAUUAGUACUAUUAUACCAUUUCUAACAUCCGGUGUGACUGAACUUUCUAGUGAUGUGUCUGCUCGCGAGCUCGCUCCAGUUGUUGUUGCGACACCUACACACACAACAACAAUCACACUGCCUCCCAGCCUUCAUAACAGCCCUGGGCCUAUCACAAGAAGGUACCUACUAUAUUUGUCAUAAGCACAUUUGAUUCAUGCAAAAGAAAAAUCCUACUUUUAUAACAUUGGUGUGUAAACUGUAAACAUGCAGGAGGCUUGCUAUGGCCAUAGCUGGAGACGAUGCAUCACAGCCAUGUGGGACAAGUACUGUUAAUUCUACAGCAUCACCUACUUCUCACUUCCCUUCACGCUCUAUGGCAUGCAAGAAAAAAUUGUCCCCGAAGAGGAAGAAGCUCUCAUUUUAGUGCAUUCAAUUCUAUUUUAAAUUCGUAGAGGUGUUGAAAUUUGUCAAUUUCAAAGAUAUUGGCUCGAAAAAAAAAUACUUUUUUGCUUGAUGUAAACUCGGAUUAAUUUAUCAUGUCGCUUGAACCAAGCAAACCUUUUUGUGGCAUCAGUUCGUAAUUUCGGUGUGAUAUAUUCUCUCAAUUCCAUGUGCUAAGUGAACAUAUGUUGUCAGUCUAUUUUUUUUCCUAUGAAGAUGUUAUAUGCUGUCAAUUUCCAACGAAAUGCAUAUGCCAGGAUGCACAUCAUAUAUAUAGAUCUCUGACCAGUGACUAAAGUAGAUCUAGCAAAAGAUUAAGCAUAUAUAUUUUGAGUGUGAUACAAUUAAAGUAUGAAGCAUCUGGAGGAGAUAACUAAACAAAGCAUUUUAUAUAAUGUACCCAGCUCCAUGAUUGAAGCAGUAUCAGCUGCUAGGGUAAUUAGUACUAUCAACACUGUCGUCCAGCCAUAGCUAUUACCGACCAACGAGCUGACACACAACAAAACUGUAAAUCCAUUAAUCAUUGGAAGAAGGUAGUUUUUACCAGCAACGAGCGCACCAUCUGCCGAGCUGCAGCUGGAGCUGGAGCGGG